Molecule: ribosomal RNA, 491 nt
Filed under: uncultured soil bacterium
Lineage: Bacteria
Description: bacterial SSU rRNA
Rfam family: Bacterial small subunit ribosomal RNA
Source: RNAcentral
AGAUUGAACGCUGGCGGCAUGCCUUACACAUGCAAGUCGAACGGCAGCACGGGGGCAACCCUGGUGGCGAGUGGCGAACGGGUGAGUAAUGCAUCGGAACGUGCCCAGUAGUGGGGGAUAACUAGUCGAAAGAUUAGCUAAUACCGCAUACGACCUAAGGGUGAAAGCGGGGGAUUCGCAAGAACCUCGCGCUAUCGGAGCGGCCGAUGUCUGAUUAGCUAGUUGGCGGGGUAAAAAGCCCACCAAGGCUUCGAUCAGUAGCUGGUCUGAGAGGACGACCAGCCACACUGGGACUGAGACACGGCCCAGACUCCUACGGGAGGCAGCAGUGGGGAAUUUUUGGACAAUGGGCGCAAAGCCUGAUCCAGCCAUGCCGCGUGCGGGAAGAAGGCCUGGUAAGUACGACUUGUCAGAACGAAACGACGCGAGACGAAUAUACUCGCGUUAAUAGACGGUACCGUAGCAGAAUAAAGACACCGACUAACUACGUA